AUUGAACGCUGGCGGCAGGCCUAACACAUGCAAGUCGAGCGGAUCGGCGGACGGGUGAGUAAGACUUAGGUAUCUGCCCGGUAGUGGUGGAUGACGUUCGGUAACGGGCGCUAUUACCACUACCUAUCAGAUGAGCAUAGGUCGGAGUAGCUAGGUGGUGGGGUAAUGGCCUACCAAGGCGACGAUCAGUAACUGGUCUGAGAGGAUGAGGAGCCACACUGGAACUGAGACACGGGCCAGACUCCUACGGGAGGCAGCAGUGGGGAAUAUUGGACAAUGGGCGAAAGCCUGAUCCAGCCAUGCCGCGUGUGUGAAGAAGGUCUUCGGAUUGUAAAGCACUUUAAGUUGGGAGGCGUUACCAACAGAAUAAGCACCGGCUAACUUCGUGCCAGCAGCCGCGGUAAUAC
Molecule: ribosomal RNA, 407 nt
Filed under: uncultured bacterium
Lineage: Bacteria
Description: partial 16S ribosomal RNA
Rfam family: Bacterial small subunit ribosomal RNA
Source: RNAcentral